RNAcentral lists this ribosomal RNA (478 nucleotides) under uncultured bacterium. Its description in RNAcentral is "bacterial SSU rRNA". It matches the Rfam family "Bacterial small subunit ribosomal RNA", at positions 19 to 518 of the family's 1533-position model. The record is from RNAcentral.
AUGGCUCAGGACGAACGCUGGCGGCGUGCUUCAUACAUGCAAGUCGAACGAGAAGUUACCUUCGGGUAAUGGAAAGUGGCGGACGGGUGAGUAAUAUGUAGAGAAUCUGCCCUAGAGCGGGGGACAACAGUUGGAAACGACUGCUAAUACCCCAUAUGCGCGUAGCUGAGAUGCUAUUCGUGAAAACUCCGGUGCUCUGGGAUGAGUCUGCAUCUGAUUAGCUAGUUGGCGGUGUAAUGGACCACCAAGGCGACGAUCAGUAGCUGGUUUGAGAGGAUGAUCAGCCACAAUGGGACUGAGACACGGCCCAUACUCCUACGGGAGGCAGCAGUAGGGAAUAUUGCACAAUGGGCGAAAGCCUGAUGCAGCCGACGCCGCGUGAGCGAAGAAGUAUUUCGGUAUGUAAAGCUCUAUCAGCAGGGAAGAUAAUGACGGUACCUGACUAAGAAGCACCGGCUAAAUACGUGCCAGCAGCGGC